UUCCACUAGGGUUUCCCUCUUUCCAUUUAUUGCUUCAGAAGCGCUUCAUUAUUUUCCUUCUGUUCCCUUCUGUUUUGAAAUAAUGCCCCUUCUGUGUCACUUUUCUUGAAGAAUUUGUCCUCUUUCCAAUUGGCUGAAGCUAAAAACUGAAAAUAAUGGAAGGGCUAAAGUUAUAUUUUCAGUUUCUGGUAUUAAGGGUGUGAAUAAGUAAGAAAGAAAAUACAAUCUAGAUUUGUUUUUAAUGAGAUGGGUGCAGUUUUUACUUCUUCCCUAGUAGAAUAUCAGAGGGAGACAGAACUGAGAGCCACGAAAUGAGGCCUCAAGCCCGGAAUAACAAUAAUUGUGUUAUGUUGUCUACUCCGGACUCACUGCCUCCCAUUCCAGGAUCCAUACUGCUAUUUUCAUAACACUCUAAAUGAUUUCACAUCUGUAAGUAAUUAGUUGCAAAAUAAUCUGUCUUGGGACUGUGGGUGAGAGAAGGGUUGGGCAAUAGAAGUUCCAACUGUGGUCUAACAAUGUGUAAAUCAUGUAUUCCUUCAUUCUGCUUUGUCUGCUUAUCAACUGUAAAUACAUUACACUGGUAAAGGCUAGUCCUGCAAAACAUAGCCCUUUGAGAAGCUCAGUAUUGAUGUGAUCCGCCAUAAUGGCACCACCAGCUUCACAGUUUACAAAGCCCCGCCCCUGAUAUUAUCAGAAUUCUUUUUCACAGCAACCCUGAGAGAUAGGCGAGGGUAAGGUUUCCAUCUAAUGUGUGAGGAACCUGUGGCGAAGUCAGUAGAUGACAUGAUAUGUUUUGUUGUUUUCUUGCAAACAUUUUAACAGUUCAUUAACUAUAGUAAUGCGCAUACGGAGGAGUGCAGGAAAUUAUAACGACAGAGAUUGAUGAAUUGUCACAAAGAGAACACUCUCAUGGAAUCAGUACCCAGGUCAAGAAACAGAACAAUGUAACACUUUCGUGCCCCCUUCCAGUCACCACCCCCAGGGGUGACCACCAUGCUGACUUCUAAAUAGGUGACAGGAUUAUUCAAGUUAAUUUUGUAUGGCAUGUGGACCAGGACCUUGCAACACAUGGAUGUGUUAUAGAGGGUCUGCUUGAUGCAUUUAGGAAUACAUCUUUACAUGAAAAGCAAGGCACAUGAGGAAUCAAUAAGGGAUGAAAAUUGCCCAACGUGAAGAAAGCUCAUCUGAGGAGACUAAAUAACAGGCUCCAGUGGAUGAAGGCUGAAUGUGUGUGUGGAAUAUUAUAGGAAAUGUUAUCUAUUGCUAUCAAGAACUGAUGAAAAGUUUACAUAGAAAAAGGAAAAUAUGUUUCUUUCAUGUUUAGAAAUUUGUGGACGAGGAGAAAUCCAUUUCUUUCUGUGGACAUUUUAAAAUUUAGGCUGUAAGUGCUCAUUGAAAGAUAACUUUGGUUUAAUCUUAACCAGAGGCAAGGAUUUGUGAUUUUUCAAGAGUGUUUCCUUUCCCACCCUGUGCCUGGCUGAGCAUUUCUGUCCAUUUCCAUGGGAAGACUGCAUUGUGUUCCUUUAAGGGAAAUGAUGUUUCGCUGGAAAAGGGAGGCUGUGUCUAUUUUACUUCUUUCCCUAGGACAUGAGUGAGUCGCCAGACAUGAAGGCUUUGCCUGUGAAUGUGCUGCCUCUCUCUGGGAUGGGCAGAGCUGAAGACCAACAGUAAUUGCUCCAGCUGGUAUCUGCAUCUGGUGGAUUUUGGAAGCUUACUCUCCCAUGUCCUCAGCACUAUUCUGCUAUUCCUGGGUAUGGCAUCUCCAUACCAAUCUGAAAACAUAAGAGAGCUCGAAGAAAAGCAUAGACUCAGAUGCAAUAAUCACUUGGGUUCUCUGAGUGAACAGCCUUGGGUAGCCACCAUCCAGAGCAGUGGAGACAUCACCAGUCCCAGAAGUCCCUGAUGUCCCUUCCAGUCACGACUCUGUCCCCUCGCCUAGGACAUACAUGUAGAUCAACAUGGAAGGAGUAGCCCUUGACCAUCAGUGUAUGACUCCAUUGCAUAGUGCUUGCUGCAGAAUUGCCUUGCCUGUCAGAUGACACAGCCAGUGCUGAGAUAGUGGCUGGCUGUGUGGAGUGGGCACAGCGCUUGCUCUCAUGAGCCGGUCCCUGGAUCUACAUCAAGAUGGUGCCUGGAUCUGUGGAUGGACUCUGGUCCUACCUUGGCCCCUGCUGCACUGAAGCUCCUGGCAUUUCCAGGGAGCCUUGCCCCUGUGUGUUAUUGGCCUGUUUUUCUGAUGUCUGCAGCCUGACAAACAUGUCACCUGGUCUUUCUCAGCUGGGUGGCUCCUCUUUGUUGAUUCAAUGCCUCCUGGUCUUGCACCCACUCCCCGACUCAGAUACUCUGCUUGGGCUCUUCCAGGAGAUCAGUGUGCUCUGCCAGGUCCCAGGGCAGACCUGCUGGCUCUCAGCUUGGCACUGAGGAAUGCUCUGGAGUAAACACUAGCCCUCCCCACCUGCUACAUGCUCAGCCCUCUCCCCUCUGCCGUGUUGCCUCAUGUCUCAGUCAUUUCUGAUUCCUCGUUACCUAGCAGAAUGUCUGGCACUUUUGCUCAGUAAGAUGCUUUUGAAAUUGAACUGGAUUGUGAAUUCCUUUCAGUGAGUGGUCCAUGCUUUAUUUGGCAAAUAGAUGCCAAUGACUACUAUUUUCUCGAAAUUUUAUAAAGUUAAUUAUUGAUACACCCAAAGCAGAGGGAUCUUCUGAUCCCCAAAGCCUGGCUUUCAGUGUUGUUUUAACCCUUCUAAAAUCUCAAGUUUCUCUAAUAAAAACCACGAUAGUCUGAAAUGCUGGAAUUUGGAAUUUAUGCCUUCCUAGAGUGCUGAUACCGAAAUUUUAAGGAAUGUAGGGAAAAAAAGGAAAUAAAAAGUCCCCCAG
Molecule: long non-coding RNA, 2874 nt
Filed under: Homo sapiens (human)
Lineage: Eukaryota; Metazoa; Chordata; Mammalia; Primates; Hominidae
Description: HSALNT0120957
Source: RNAcentral